Molecule: long non-coding RNA, 4635 nt
Organism: Mus musculus (house mouse)
Lineage: Eukaryota; Metazoa; Chordata; Mammalia; Rodentia; Muridae
Product: predicted gene, 31852
Exons: 3
Source: RefSeq, a predicted model, not a curated record
GGGGAAGGGCUGUGGAGCCCCGCGCCUGUUCCCAGGCUGUUUCCGUCCCCCUGUGUCCUCACCACGUAGCGAAAAUGAAACCGCGAGAGAUGAAGUUCAACUCAACUGCUAAGUAGCUGAGUCAGAAUUUGACCCCAAGCCAGAUGAUCUUUGUUAUGGGGUAUAUGGAGAAAAAUAACACCGAAAGGCCUGAAUGCGUCAAAUUGUGGGCCAGUACAAUCUUGUUUCCGGCACUGUUGCUGUUCUGGGGCCUGAAGCAUGUAGGGACAAGGUGCAGCUAGGGGCUUGAGAACCACCAACCUUGAGACAUGCAUUCUGCUUGUUUGUUUGUUUGUUUGUUUGUUUAGGGGUUUUGUUCGAGACAUGCUCUCAACUCAGCUGUCCAAGAGCCCACUAUACAGAGGAUGACCUUGGCUGUCUGAUUCUUCGGCUUCUGCCUCAUGCUGGGGUUGCAGGCUUGUGUUUUAGAGUUCUUCUUAGAGAUGGAAUUAUGUGGGAGAACUGUGCUUGGUGCCGGACAUGGCAAUGUCUCCACGAAAUGAGAUUCUCUUCUCAAUUGCUACAUUCUAGUUGGACAGAGAACAAGUAGCUCCACUGCAUUUCCUCUUGAGGAAGUACGUGGUAAGCUCAGAACUACCGUCCUGCAGAAGAUGCACACCAGCCUAGGAGUCUGUCCCACAGAACAGAGGGAACCAGGUCUCUAGGUAAACUGGGAAGGUAGGGUAUGCUGAAGAUACAGAGGCAGAAGGAUUACAUGAGUGAGGCCAGCCUGGUCUACACCGGGGCUGACAAGAUGGCUCAACAGGAAAAAGCGCUUGCCACGUAAGCCCGACAAGCUGAUGUCUACACCUGAAUUCUACACCUGAGCCCAUGGUGGAAAGGAGUCGACCAACUCCCUCAAGUCGUUGUGACGUGACUGAGACCUGAGUCACAAGCCUGGAAGCAGCAGAGCUGGAACGUCAAGCCCCCUUCUCUCUCUCCUCUCUUCCUCUAUCUCCCCCUCUCCAGGCUCUCUCCUUGCUAUGUAGCCCAGGCUGGCCUUCCCACACACAUUCUUCUGUGUCUCUUCCUUUCAUCUUGCUAUGUGGUAUCAGGCUGGUCUUGAAUUCAUGGCAGAAUGCACGGCAAACCCUAAACUCGACCAGCUUCCUGGUCUUGCUGCAGGCUUUCUCCCUCCCCACCUUUAUUCCACCCAGGCUGCAGCCAUGGUGGUGCUGUACUCAGGGUAGCACCCUCAGAGCUAGUCACCUCUGGAAACAGGCCUCACAGACACACCAGAGCGCACUUUUCUACUGUCCCGUGUGCUUCCAGGAUAUGAUGAAAUUGACCAUUACACAUGGGUGUACUGUUUCACAUCUGUGACCCCAACACUCAGAAGGAGGCUGAGGCAGGAGGAUCACAGUGAAUCUGAGGCCAACCUUGCCUAUACACACUGAGUUCCAGUCCACCUUGAGCUGUGUAGCUACAAAAUAAGACUUUCUCAACACCUCCCCUGUCCUUCAAAAGGAUCAAGCACUGCGGAACGUGAACACUUUAUAAACUCACAAGGACUGAUGAGAGGCAUCUACUUCUGAGGUUUAAAAUGCAUGUCUUACACUGGAGCAUCAGGGAAAUCAGGGCAUCUCUUAGGGCCCAGGACAUCUCAGAAUCAGAGAAAUACAGUCGGGGAAGCAAGCAGCUAUCAGAUGGGCAGAGAACUGACUCCUGAUCAAUAGCACCCUGAACUGGCAGGGUGUGCGGAGAGGGCUUCAGAGACAGGAGACAGCCUGGGAGGAAUCGAUUAAAAUGGAAAGCACAACACCCUUGACCUUUCCUAGAAACUGACCCUGAUGCCCAUGGCAUUCAGGAGCAAAGCCAAGGUCCUCUAUAGUUUCUAGUCCCUGGGCCUGAAAAUGAUCUCAUCCCAUGACCAGUAGGUGGGUCUGAAGAACGAAGGUAGUUAUGGGAAAGUGGCUGGGUUCAGAGAGUGCUUGCUGUGUAGACACCAGGACCGGAGUGAGGGUGAUCCCCAGCUCCCAUACACAAAGCCAGCCUGCCUGUAAUUCCAGCAUUGGGGAGACCCUGAAAGAAGCAUCCUUGGGUCCUGAACAGUCGGCCAUGUUCUGUAAGAGAUCUGGUCUCAAAAAAUAAGGUAGGCAGAAAGGAAGACACCAGACACCGGACAUUGACCUCUGGCACACACACAUGCACUUGUGUGUGCAUCUGUGCACGUGCGCAAACACACACACACACACACAACCUUCCCUACAUAUACAUAUAACUGUACAGGUGGACUGCCAGGGUGGCAGCACAUUCUAUAAUCCCCGUACUUGAGAAGCAGAUAAAUGAGGACUGCUGCAAAUUCAAGGCCAGUCAGGACUACAAAGUCUUUCAAAAACAAGACUGGUUCAUUCCCCACUGCCUCCACCCAUAUUUUACUUUAUAGGUGUGAGUGUUAGUGUACAUGUAUGUCUACACACCAUGUGCAUGCAGUACCCAUGCAGGCCAGAAGAGGGUGCAGGAUCAGUGCUGACAGAAGGUAGGAGAGGGUCCCUGGGACUGGAGUUACGGAGGAUUGUGAGCUGCCCUGUGUGUGCUGAGAAUCAAAGCCAGGGCUUCUAAAAGAGCAGCCAGUGUUUUUAACCAUCUCCCCAGCCCCCAAGAUGGGUCCAUUUUAAAAUUGGAAUACUACAUACACAUCGCUAAAAAGAACUAAGAAAUCUUCUGACCGUCAAAUAUAAUAUUCUCUAAAAGAUGUUCUGUGAGAAAAGGGAAGGCAGAGAUCCACCCCGCUGUUCAUUGGUGAUGUCUUCUUAGAGAGGGAGGGAAAGGAGGGGACAGGCAGGCAGACUCCUGUGUUCAUACAGCAGACAUCACAGUUUAUCAAAGCGAUGGCCUUUGAGGGGCCACCCUUGCAGAGGAGCAACGUUUGCUGCUGAAGGACAGGUAUGGCGGUAUAUACCUUUAAUCCCAGCAUCCUGCAGAGUCAAGUAGAUGUCUCUAAGUUUGAGGUCAGCCAGGGCUACAGAGUGGGACCCUAUUUAAAAACAACAACAACAACAACAACAACACACACACACACAGAGCAAGCAUAUCAUGUGUGCCUUGAGAGAGAACCCGACCGGGGGCUUGGGAAACUGAAAUCUCUGGCUGCAUCAGGCCUCCAAGCCUGUUCAGGCCUUAGGCGUUGCAGGCUGUCUGGUCUUUGCUAUACACACCCAGCCCCUUGAAGCUGGGAGGAAAUGAAUGGCUGAAACAGAUGACAGUGCAUUUUACAAGGACACUGAACACUGCACCGUGAACUGUAACCUGCUCCUUGCCUGCUGUCAUUUGGAGAACGCGGUAGACUGGAUGGGACCCUGCUGGUCUUCCUACCUACAGCUCAUGGUUUGCACCGUUGUGAGGGGGGCCUGGGAGGUUUGGGUUUCAUCUGAGGGGGUGGGAGUUACAGGUGGGAAGAGGCACAUACCUAGCUCCCCUCAAGAGUUUGGCACAGAAGGUGCCUGACCGAAGUCCACUCCAAAGCCAGGUUUGCCCUUUGCAUCACUGACCUGACCCUGUCACCAGAUGGCAGCACAACCCUGGCUCCCUCCGCCCACCUCCUAGACACGCACUCCACAACCGCCCUUAUUUCCAGGUCUCUUUUUGCUGUUGAGGGGCUUAUUAAAGUACCAACCAGGCUGCCCUUGAACUCCUUCUGUCUAGAACUCUCAAAACUCUCUACCUUGGUCUCCAGAAUAGUUAGAGUCGUAGGCUCGCCACCACGCCUGGCCUCAUCUCCUAUCCCUAAGGGACUGCCAAAUGCUAACACUUCCUCCUUCAGUGGUCGUGGUUGUAGUGGCCAAUGUUGACUAACAUCAAGGACAAUGAAUGUUUUUCAGAUUAUUGUCAUUUUGUGUCCUCAAGCCCCCUUCUCCCUCCAUUAUUAAUACUGCAGAAAUCAGCCUAAGAGCUGUUGUUGAUUUCUCUCUCUCCCCUCCCUCCCUCUCUCUUUCUUUUUUUUUCCCCAAGACAGGGUUUCUCUGUAGACGAGGCUGGCCUUGAACUCAGAAACCUGCCUGCCUAUAGCUCCCAAGUGCUGGGAUUAAAGGCGUGCGUCACCACCGCCCAGUUUGUUUAUCUCUUAAUAAAGACAGGUUCUUAUAUAGUCCAGGUUGGCUUCAAACUUGCUAUGUAGCCAAAGAUGAACUUGACCCUCUAUAAUCUUCCUAUCUUCACCUUCCAAAUGCUGGGAUUACAGGCUUGAAUCAACAGGCCUGGAGCCACAGACAGCCUGACCAGAUACACACCAGAAUGUGUGUUCACUACUAAAUCCUGGUGCCUUGGAAAUGCUUGUCCAUCAGGUGGCCCGGGGCUUCGCGACAGCUGCUCUCCUCACUUCUGUGCUGGCUGGUCUUGCUGAUCACCCCAGCAUCUAACUGCAAGUCUGCACCUGCCCCAGGGCCUUUGUACCUUGUGAAACUGCACUGUGAGCUGGGCAUGGUGGCGCAAGCUUUGAUUCCAACACUGGGAUCAAAGGUGAAUCUCGGGAGUUCAAGACCAGCCUGGUCUACAGAGCAAGUGCCAGGAUAACCAGAACUAUAUACGGAGACCCUUGCCUCUUGAAAGAACAAAGUAUUAAAACAAACAAAAAAAUAUAAUAAAGAAGUUGUAGUA